Molecule: long non-coding RNA, 8105 nt
Filed under: Podarcis lilfordi (Lilford's wall lizard)
Lineage: Eukaryota; Metazoa; Chordata; Lepidosauria; Squamata; Lacertidae
Source: RNAcentral
CAAACAACUACUUCUAGCUUCAGAACUGGAUUUAAGAAGGAUACUGGAAUCAUGUAGACUGACCUUGCCUUAUAGGAAUUGAUGUCUGAUGCUUUGCUCUGAUAUCAAAGAACUUAAUAAGCAAGGCUUUAUUACCAGGUUGAAAGCGGUGGGGAUGUUAAGACUCUGGAUUUCAUGGUCUCAGGCCCGACCCACCCAUGAGGUGGAGUGAAGCAGCUGCCUCAGGCAGCAAAAUCCCCUGAGGCGCCAUCCCUGUGGGCACUCUGCCUGCCCACUACUUCUGCCAGAGGCAGGGCAGGCAGCACAGCUGCAGCGGAAGCAGUUCUUGUUUUCCCUCAAGUGAUGAGAUGGCUGGCUCUGAAUGGUUUUGUGGGGCCUCGUCUUGAGGUGGUAGCAUGUGUUAAGGUCGCUUAUUUUAUACAGUCAUACCUUGGAUCUCAAACGCCUUGGCUCCCAAACAAAUCGGCUCCUGAAUGGUCGAAACCCGGAAGUGAGUGUUCCGUUUUUCGAACGAUUUUCGGAAGCCGAACGUCUGGCGCGGCUUCCGAUUGGCUGUAGGAGCUUCCUGCAGCCAAUCAGAAGCCACCCUUUGGUUUCUGAACAUUUUGGAAGUCAAACAGACUUCCGGAACAGAUUCCGUUCGACUUCCAAUGCAUGGUUGUAAUGUGAUACGGCUUGCUGCAUUUGGGGGCCUUCCUGCUCAUUCUGUGAGUGGGAUCCUAGACUUCUGCCCCAAAAUCCUGUUCUGGCUGCACCACUCAGAGAAUGCUUUACAGUCCUGUAAUCAGCUGAAGGUGUGAGUAUUUGUAGUUAAGUUUUCCACUUUAAGAAAUUCAGUGAGGAGGUUGUGCAGUUUCACCCAAGUGUGAUGAUAUUUAUGGUGCCAGUUAAAGAAAGUGCAUGGUUCGGUGACUGGAGCUGUUGAGUGUUGAAAACUGAAAAACUCAGAAACUGAGUCUAAGGUAUGGUUGUCUGUUCUGUCCUUGAUUAUUGCUCAAGAUUAAAAGCUUGAUUGUGUGGCAAAAGUAGUUUGCAUAUCCUCCUUCCCUAAGGACUUAAUGCUUUCUGUUCGUAAUUAAUUCUUAUUGAUACUUGUGAUGUUUUAAAGUUUUGUUAGUUGUACACAAAGAUGAUAUUUAUAUUUUUAAGAACCUCCAUCCUAUUCUCUUUUUUAACACUCAACUGAGAAUAUUGAUUCUCUUCUACAACAUGGUUUUUUUUGCAGAGCAUCUUCUUCAAGAGCACCAUUACGCCAUACUUGUUUAAUUCAUCUCCAUUGGUUUAUCAGGAAUGCAAGUGAUUGACUGGUUUGUGGCAAGAAAGGAUUGGUUUUAAUUACAUAGACUGAAAUGUUCUAGUUGUGUAUUUUGCUUUGUUUUUGAUAUUUGUGCACACAGCUCUCUUUUUCAGUAUAAAACGGUUCUGAUUUUAUACAACAGGAGACUGAAGGGCUUCGGAUGUAGCGGCGACAAAUUCAUAGACUGUGCAGAUGUGUGUUUUUCUCAAGCUAGGUUGGAAAAAGGACUGACUGUAAAUCCCAGCCUGGUCAGAGGGUGGAUUAGUUUAGAGGAGAGGCCAGAGUGAAUGGGGAAGUAGCUAAAUCAAGCAUCCAUAGAUGAAAUUGACGUUUGCCGUACUAAAGGAGAACUGUGAGUUUCUUCUACAGGCAGAGAUGCAAACAGUGCUUUUCUGAACCUUUUCUUAAAAAACAAAACACACAAUCAUAGUAAGGUGCUGGUGUUUUUAUUUUAAUUUUAUUUUUAGUUUGCUGGAGUCAACUGGAAAGAAGGGAGUAAGAAGGAAAUAUUGCUGUUUGGGGCAUGUCCUUUGGAGGCUUUUUGUGGAUCCAUGAAGACGUCUGGUUAAAACCCAUGAGAGGAAGUGACUGUUUAAUAACAGUGGUGUAACAGUACUGGCAUCUAGGUGAAAUCAUGGCUGAAAUCCUAGGUACACUUCUGUGGAAGAAAGUCCCAUUGAACUCCAUGGGGCUUUCUUCCGUGUAGGGGUAUAUAGGAGUGCAUAGUAAAAUUGCAGCGCCUCAGAGAAGAAAUGGUUUAAUGUAGUGUGAACUUUGGAAGGAAGCAGCCUGUAAAAUGGAGUAGGUUGCUGCCCUCUAAAAGUGUACAUUUUCAUGUUAACACAGUGAUAUAAUAAGCCUUUACCCGUAGCAGUUUCCUCACGUAGGAAGGAGGCAGAGAUUAUUUUUAUUUUGCAAUUCUUAACAGUUUGUACUGUUCCAAAUGACAGUAUGCAAUGAAGGAACUGCUUGCUUAAUGAAUGGGAGCAAUGUCAUUGGAGACCUGAGUAAUUUUUCCCCUAAAUCUUUUAUCAGCUGACAGCACAAUCCUAUACAUGUCUACUCAAAAGAGGUAAAUUCAUUUAAGUUCAAUAGGACUUAUUCCCAAGUAAGUGGGUAUAGGACUGCAACCUAAACGCCAUUGUUUUGAACUUCUUCCAGUUUCAGUGAAUUUGGCCCUGUACUUAACAUGAUGACUAAUAGUUUCAUCUUCCCACCCUCCCCUUCAUACUAGUUCACAGGCCAAUGAAGGAAUGCUGUCUCCCAUCCAUUGUUUUCUGUAUUCUUAAGGGACUAUACCUCAAAAUUUGGCUUGAAAUAAAUUAUGGUUUACCAAACUUGAAGGAAAAUUUAAACCCACGCCUAUCUUUAACCAAAGAAAAAAAUUAAUAAAUAUGAAUAAAUAUGUACCUUAGAGUAUGUCUCUGCCCAUUCCAAGUUCCCCAGGCACAUGUUGUGACUUUUUGGACAAGACACGCUACGGAGUACCAUUUUUUCUUUAUGUUCUUCCAUGUUUGUCACACUUUUAAUAUUUUUAUUUAACAUAUUGUGUUUGAAGAAGUUUGCUUGGGAGAAUUCGGUCCUAUUUGCUGCUGCUGUGCAAACUGUGACUAGGUGAAGUUUUGUGCCAGUGCUGGUAAAGAUAAUCCAUCCCUAGAGAUUCCCACUAUUUGGGGGCUGAUAGGAGCUGUGGGUCAUCACCAAGGCACCAGGUUCAUAAAUGCUGUCGUGGGGCAGGUGGCAUUCUCUGCCCCUUCCUGUGUCUGGUUUUUGUUCGGUUCCUACACACUAUUGGUCUUUGCGCCUGCAGUGGGAGAAAGGGAGGACUAGGCACUCUUGAGCCACACUUCCAGUUCUCAUUGUCUUACUGUUGUCUUAUCUUACUGUAUAAAACACCUGGUUCAUAAGCUAAGACUUUCUUGACCCAGAAGUGUCAAUCAGAUAGAGCAAGGCACCCCGCAUCCAACUCUGUACAAUAGUGACAUUAUAUAAUGCGUUGUUGAGUUCCAGGUCACUUAUGCAAUAUUUCCCGUCAGGCAAAGCUGAUUUCUGCUGCUCUAGUACUGGGCCAUGGUGAGAGAUCAUUGGGAAAUGGCCCUUCUGGGUAUGUUGCUCUGUUCUACCAUCACACUCGGUGGCUGGAUCGUGUUGUAGCUUUUCUUUAAAUCAUUGUCGUUGUAAGGGUUGGAUUCGUAUCAGUCGGCUGAAGAAUUUAGCUUGCUUCUGCUUUCCCCUGUUCUUACUCGGUGGUGUGGGGGAAUAACCACACAGGGAUAUUUAUGUAUUUGCAGGGCGUUAGGUGGCUGUGUAUUUUGCAGGAUUUGCCAAGCUGGGCCAGCGGAAGAAUAAUAAUACCACUGAAUGUAAACAAACAAAACGGAAAAAAAGCUCUUUUAGCAGAAGGAAACAUAUAUGUAGCAAGUGUGUCAUUUUGAGUGGGCAGAAGUUGUCAGGAGCCUCCGAUAGCUUGUUUUUUCUGAAUAUAGCAAAUAAGAGUGAAACUCUCGUUUCUUAUGUACGGGUUAGUAUUGUCCUUCCAGUUUUAGCAGUGCUGCUAUACCAGACUUUUGUGUGCAUAUUAAGAAAAGAAAAGGUGUAUAUUAAUCUUUUGCUUAAUGUAGUUAAACUAAGAAAGGCAAUACUAAAAGCAUUCCCCCCCCCCAAAAAAUGUGAUGUUUUUACUGCACUGAUAGAAAUUGUGGCAUCUCUAGUCUAACUCUUCAGCUGUAGGUGUAAGUUCCAUGCCAGUUCGCACAAAUAUCUGUGUGUGAAUGGUACCCAUAGGCCUCUCUCUCCUUCCUUCCUUCCUUCCUUCCUUCCUUCCUUCCUUCCUUCUGUCAUGAAAGAGGUGGGGCAACACUGCUGAAAGCAAAUGAAAUGUCUCACUUUCAGGACAAAGCUAAGAACUAAAGGUGCUGGGAUGGAGCUAAUAAUAACAGAAAACUUUUUAAAAAGCCAGUACAUUUUGAGGAAAUUUGAAAUACUUUGGUCUGGAAUUUCUAUUAGAAAAUAUAUGCAUUUGCCAUCCAUCUUUAUUAUUAUUUUUUUUAACACUACUUUUUGUAUUUUUCCUUUUUGCUUCUUUGCUAUGGUUCUAGAGUAGACUCUGUGUUCUAGAUGUUUCUAACUUUCUAGAGCUCACUGACUCCAUUGGAAGCAAACCCACCUGAUCAGGAUUCUGGAUCCCAGUUGGUUCAACAAGGAUUCCAGAAUUUUGAUCAACACUUUGUUUUAUAAAUAAAGAAGGAUUAAAAUAUUUCUCUUACAAAAAAAAACUGUGACCUAAUGGCAAUAAUUACCUCAAACGUGGGCAUUCAUCUUGGUUUUAGCCUUUAAAAAUAAAAACAAACAAACAUGUAGCCAGCUUGAAUUUGGGAUUAAAUAUAUAUAUAUAUAUAUAAAAAUGCCCACCCUGGUCAUUGUUGCUUUGAGUGAUUCUUUAAAAAUAAAACAAUGAAACCAAGGAUUAAAUUACUCUUAUAUGUAUUUUAAUUAAUUGUGAUAUUGAAAUGCACAUGUAAUUAUAUAUGUUCAUUGCUACUGUAAAGUGCUUCGACCUUCUCGAAGAUAUGUAAUGAAUCACAUUUUAAACCAAUAUGAACUGAACAACCGACUGUGGCUACUAAACAUUUUCUGGUUGCAUUUUAUAGUUACGAUGUUUUAUAGUUUACAUUGAAACUGGUACUUUCUAACUAAAUGUUCUGUUUUAAUUAUACCUUCAGAAUCUCAACACUGCUGUCCCUUUAACAUUUUAAUUUUUUGCUCUCGCUCUCUCUUUUUUAAGCAGAACUGUGUCUUCAAUGUGUACAUUCUGUUCUGAGAUAUAACAUAGUAGGUAGAAGGUCAGACCAGAUAAUUCCAAAGUUAAGAGGAGCAAAUCACUCCGUACAUAUUAACAAGUAAAGCCCAACAAAUGACCUAUUUAUUUUUUAAUUAAGAAGGAAGAAAAUAAUAAUAAUUGAAGCUCUUGGGGACGAAUCAGGAAGCACAAUAAUUCCCAGCUAGCUCUUUCCUUUAGGCUCCCUUCCUAAACACACUUACCAAGGAGUAAGCCCCAACAAACACAUUGUGACUUGCUUCUGAGUAAAGCGUGGGAUUAUAACCGCUGAAAUCUUAACCUGAACAGACAUAACCAUUGUGAGAACCAAGUAUUCAAAGCAAGCGGCGUAUUGUAUAGCGAGUGGCUUGGAGCUCGUGAACACACAGAUGGGUAAUGCUGCGGGCUUGCCAGCUUCAUAAUCAUGGAAGCAGACCUGUCUGCUUAGAAUUACCUUGUAAAAAUGGCAAUCGUGGAUCACAGGUGCAUUAUGCAUUUACCUGUCCCUGGAAAUUUUUGGAAGCCCUGCACUUGGUAUGCCUCUCCCAACGCCCCCAGGGUUGAUCAAUUGGCAGCUGUAUCCAUGGAAAUCAUAAAAUGCAGGACUAGCUACCAGCAACUCAUGCACAUGUCUCACAGCUGGGAAACCUGUGAUUAAGUCCUCAAGUACUGAGACAACAAAUCCUUGGAUUGUUUUCAGAAACAAUGACAGGCAGUGCUAUAUAAUUCUGUAAUCAUGCAGUCUAUCUCAUUUGUCACUUGGAACCCCCUAAGCUAAAUAUGAAGAACUUGACCAGUACCUUGUAAAUUUAAUUUGCCUAUUAGCCAAUGACAGUUUAUCGGAUGCUGUUCUGUUUUCAUAUUACCAGGUGUCGCGAAUUAUGUGUUUGGACGCAAACGGUCUUUUGCAUUCGUUUUUCUCGUCGUACUUAUGUUUGUUUGACGUGUGAGGGUUUCUUUCUCUUACUGUCCGAGUAACCAAUGAAUGGAAACGUUCUGCUGGGCAAAGAGGUGUUUUUAGACAAUAAAUCUACAGGAACUGGCACAAAAAUGACUUUAUCCAAACAGCUGGGCUUCAUUGUGGAGCUGACAAUCUCAGCAAAGUUCCUAACAUUUGUUCAGCACUGGCAGAUUAAGGAGUUGCAAGGAAAAGGCGAGGAACAGAUUGUUUUUAGGUCCUUGUUAAAAUCUCUGCUCCCACUAGAUUCAAGGGGAGCCCCCCAGCCCCUUCAGCCAAUUUAAAGCCAUGGUUUCCACAGUAUAGCUCACAUUACCAAAGUGAACUUGGCAUGUGGCUGUGCCGCCAUUUUGAAAGCCUAAUGGGAAGCCUGUUAGGAUUUUAGGACUCAAGAAAACUGGAAGAGGUUGGGAUUCCCUAGCCCUUGGGCAUGGUUAACAGCAAAUAACUCUUUUACCGCCCUUAGCAACCACUCAUUUCCCCUUUUAUAUCAACGCUAGUCGUGGAAAUAUCACCAUAACCCCACUGAAAGGGCUAUAGAUUGUCUUUCCAAACCCUGGGCUUGGAGUCUGUAAAGCACAAAGGAGUUUUUAACAUAGCCGUCUCCUCAGAAAGGGAAAUGCAGCCUUCCCUGCUUUCACUUUGGGGUGGUUGCAGACCUCUUUUCCUCUAUACAUGUUGGGAUUUUUUUCCCUUUCUGAGGUGGUAUUUCCCUCGGCUAUUCCACAGCACGGCUCUCUGAGGUGCAGAAAACACCUCCUCAUCCCUUGUGCUUUACCAGCGAAGUUAAAAAUAUAAAGCUAGGCAUUUCCCAGUGCCAAAUUUUUAUACAGACAGAAUUGGAAUGUAUAAUCUGAAAAUUCUAUACCAAAAUCAGUAUUUUUUUUUCUUUCAAAAGAGGGGGAAAUAAUAGCUUUAUUAGAAAGGGGAGGAAGAAAGGGGAUAUAUUGGCCGUUAGAGUCUUUUUGUGGUAGUUAAAAUAAAAAUUGGGGAAGGUAUUUGUGAAUAUAUGGACUCUUUUAACCCAUAGUUGAAGGGAUGUUUUAUACCUCUUAAUUUCGCAUAAACCCAGUCUACUUUGAAUUGAAUGAAAAACACAUACUACAUGAAAAAAAAAUUUUUUUAGGGAGGGGCAAAAUAAUUGAAAUAUAUUCCAAUGCAGAAAGACACCUCCCCACCCUUCCACCUGAUUUAUAUUUGUAAGGCUUUUGCUUUUUUUCUAGAUACAGUAUCAUCUCAGUUCAAAAAACCCAUGAAAGCCCUGGUUGGUUGUAUUCUUUCACUGUACGGUUCUGUAUUGAGUGUUAAUCCAUGUUAAAACUUUGUGAAAAUUAUUGUGUGCAACCGUAUUUUCUUGUGUAUUGUUUCUUUUCUUUUCUUUUUCUUUUCUGUGAAUUGUCCCCUUUGUUUCCUUUCUUUCCUCCCACUUUUGUUAUUUUUCUGUUUUGUUUUCUUCUGGUAAUGUCUUUGGGGGAAAAAAAAAACCAGAAAAGAAACUGACGUGUUGUAGAACUAUAUGUAACCUAUUCCUUAGUCUCAUAUUAUAGGUAUGUUAUAAGAAUGGAUAUUUUACUUGGCUUUAGAAUGUUUUACAAGAAAACUAAUUCUUAACCAAUCAAGUUCUUGCUACUAAAAAAAAGAAAAAAAAUGCUUGUGUUUCUCAUCAUGACGUUGUGUGCUUCUAAUUAAUAAUCAUUUUCGUUGUAGAAAAAUGGAGUGAAUUUAUAUUAGACUUGAAAACUAAUAAUAGCAUUGUAAAUUUAUGAGAUGAUUUUAACAGAAAAAAAGCAUUAUAGAAGAAUAUAGUUAUUUUAAUUGUAAUAUUACUAACUGUAGGGUGAGAAAGGGCCCCCCGUUGUGGUGAACUAUGUUAUAGCUUGUUAUUCACAGUUUCUUUUUGAUCAUUUUUUCGGUCUCUGAGGUGAAACGAGUUAUUAAUCAGAAUUUGUAAACUCACAUAUGCAUAUUGUAUAUGUGUAGAAAUGUAAUCACACUUUGUCUUGGAAUUACAUUAAACUGUUUUAAGUCACUGC